RNAcentral lists this ribosomal RNA (330 nucleotides) under Triticum aestivum (bread wheat). Its description in RNAcentral is "partial small subunit ribosomal RNA". The record is from RNAcentral. Lineage: Eukaryota; Viridiplantae; Streptophyta; Magnoliopsida; Poales; Poaceae.
AUGCUUGACUUCGACUCCGAAGACAUCAACGGUAUUGACGACGAUGCAGGAGACGAACCAGAACCACCGCCCACAGGGCGCUGGACUGCUACUUCAUCACAUGACGUAUACAUGGUGGACACCCCCAAAGAAGCCAAUGGCGAUGAGACAUCGGAGGAUGACACCUCCAAGAAGCAACCCAAGCGCCAACGUCAGCGGCGCCGCUCUAAGUCCCGCCAUAGCAAGAACAGCGAUAAUAAUAGUCCACGCGACUCUGGAAGAGACGACAACUGCACCAGCCGGUGGCAGAAUAUGAUCAAGAUGCAAACUGCAAACAUAGUACGAAUCUGA